This 871-nucleotide ribosomal RNA is filed under the name Myelochroa irrugans. Its description in RNAcentral is "eukaryotic LSU rRNA". It matches the Rfam family "Eukaryotic large subunit ribosomal RNA", at positions 96 to 975 of the family's 3401-position model. The record is from RNAcentral. Lineage: Eukaryota; Fungi; Ascomycota; Lecanoromycetes; Lecanorales; Parmeliaceae.
AGCCGGAAAUAUUCUCAGAUUUGAAAUCUGGCCCCCUUCGGGGUCCGAGUUGUAAUCUGCAGAGAGUGCUUCGGGCGAGACCGCGGUCUAAGUCCCUUGGAACAUGGCCUCAGAGAGGGUGAGAAUCCCGUAUGCGACCGUGGCUCGAGCCCGUGUGAAGCCUCUUCGAAGAGUCGAGUUGUUUGGGAAUGCAGCUCAAAGUGGGUGGUAAAUUUCAUCUAAAGCUAAAUACUGGCUGGAGACCGAUAGCGCACAAGUAGAGUGAUCGAAAGAUGAAAAGCACUUUGGAAAGAGAGUCAAAAAGUACGUGAAAUUGUUGAAAGGGAAGCGCUUGCAACCAGACCUGCCCGUAGGCGAUCAGCCGCUGUUCUCAGCGGUGCACUCGCUCUGCGAUCAGGCCAGCAUCGGUUUCGGCGGUUGGAUAAAGGCCUUGGGAAUGUAGCUCCCCCUCGGGGGAGUCUUAUAGCCCUCGGUGCAAUGCGGCCAGCCGAGACCGAGGACCGCGCUUCGGCUAGGAUGCUGGCGUAAUGGUUGUAAGCGACCCGUCUUGAAACACGGACCAAGGAGUCUAACAUCGAUGCGAGUGUUUGGGUGUAAAACCCAUGCGCGGAAUGAAAGUGAACGGAGGUGAGAACCCUGAAGGGCGCAUCAUCGACCGAUCCAGAUGUCUUCGGAUGGAUUUGAGUAUGAGCAUCGCUGUUGGGACCCGAAAGAUGGUGAACUAUGCCUGAAUAGGGUGAAGCCAGAGGAAAUCUCUGGUGGAAGUGUCUCGCAGCGGUUCUGACGUGCAAAUCGAUCGUCAAAUUUGGGUAUAGGGGCGAAAGACUAAUCGAACCAUCUAGUAGCUGGUUCCUGCCCGAAGUUCCCCUCA